UCUUGUCAGACAAUUAAGGGGUCUUUGAAUACUUCAGCCCUAAUAAUUUGCUUCCUAACAUACAUAUUGCAGUGCUUAUCUAAUUUUAAAUAUUCUUUUGUUUCAACACCUAAUUUUCUAUUUUGAUCUAUCUUUAUGUUUACAAUAUAUUUUGCUCUGUGUUCAUUCUUUGAUUUCAGAACUUCAAUCUUUCUGAAGCGUGUUUUCAGAGUUUCCUUUGAGUUUCUUUAGUGGAAUUCUGCUGGUGGUAUUUUGUUUUUUGUCUCUAAAUAUGUGAUUUAGCCAUAGGUUGAUGAAUAUUUUUCUUGGUUGAGAAUUUCAGAAUGGCAUUAUUAUUCUUAACAAAUAAUAUUGUUUAUUUUACCUUUCAUGCUUUCAGAUUUCAAUAUGAUUAAAGGUAAUUUGAUUUUUCUAGUGCUAAUUGAAAUAUUUUUCCCUUCCUGAUUGUUUACUAUUUCUCUAGGAGAUAUGUAGAUGUAGGUUUAUCUCCAUCGUAGCUUGCUUAGCAUGCAUAGAAGUUUUGAAUAUGUGGAUUAGUGUCUUACAGAACUCUAGAGAACUUUCAGCCAAAAUACCAUCACAUAUUGUCCCUUCCCCGUUCCCUUCCUCUAUGAGAACACUCACUAAACACAUGCUACACUUUCUCACUGUAUCUUCCAUGUCUCUUCAUGAUUCUGUCCACAUUGUGCCUUUUUUUAAAUUUUCUGUAAUGCAUUCUGAAAUAUUUAUGAGCUCUCACCAUGGCCAUGUCUAAUCUGAUGAGUUCAUUUUUGAGUUUUUAAUUUAAAAUACUAUAUACAAACUACUUUUCAAAUUUACUACAUCAACUUUUUAGUCUCCUAAAAAUAUAUUCCUUUUUUUAAAUUUUUUGAAAGCAAAUGUGCUUUAUAAUCUAACAGUGAUAUUUCUACUAAUGAACCUCUGUGGAUCUGUUUGUACUCUUUUUCUGCUUUCCUUUCAAAUGGUGGAAUAUCAUUUCCUUGCGUACUUAGAUGCCUUUGAAUGACAAAGAUUUAUUUUUCUCUGAAAAUUAUUAUUGUGCACUUUUGCAUAUUAGUAAGAAGAAAAUUUGCCAAAGAGAAUUUGAAUUUUUUGUGAGUCUACUAAAGGCACCACCAUUCUGGGACCACAUUAUAUUAAUUCUUGGCCUAAAGGUGUUUGGACGUAUGUUUGGACAGCACAUUUAAACAAUUUUUAAAUUAAUUGCUGUAAAUCAUUAAUGAUUGAGUUUCUUUAAAUCUGUCCAAUCUCAAGUCAUUUUUAUUUGCCAUUUCCAGGGAAUGUGAAAUGAGACUAAUUUACCUCUGAUUCUUCUUUAUACUGAGGAGAUAAAUUUUGGUGCUAGCUUUAGGGAAGAGCUCCUGUGUGAUGCCCUAUCUUGGGAAACACUAUGUAUUUCUUUACUGUCCUAUGUGAUGUAUGACCAUAGGAAUCUGCACUCAUUCAUUUUGCUACAUGUCCGUAGGGCAAAAUCAGUAUCAGUGUUUAGGUGUAUUUUGUCUGCUCCCUGCAUUCCCAUGGUUUUGACCUUAUCUUUUACUUUUUUUUGUGAACAUACCAAUGCUUCAAUUUUUUUCCAGUAAUAUAAUCAACCAUACUAUAAGAGAAAAAUUUCGAUAAAACACAAAUUUCAUGUUUUCCUACUCUAAUUGGCUUUUACGUAAAAAUACAGGUAAAAUUUAUUUGUGCUUUUUUGCUAUUUCUGUUUUGCUAUUUUCUGUUUGUCUAUGUCUUCACCACAUAGACACAAUUAGGGAAUUUUGUACACUCUUGUGCCAACUGCUUUGAUAGUAACAAAAUGUAUUUCUCGAACUCCUAGGUAUAAAACUCAAGUAUCCACUAUUUAAAUUCUUUUUUGCUCACUUCUAGUAUGUUUCCAGUCUCAAUAGAAAUCGAUGCCAAUCCAGAAAUACAAGCAUUAUUCUAAUACUUCUCACACAUUACUGCAGGAGUGAGGACACAGCGAAAGUGAGACAAGGAAAAGAGAACAAAAUAAAACAGGAAAGACAGAAAAGCCAAUACCACACGUGUUAAGAGUUUCAAGGAAAAUAUGUUGGGAGUUCCUGGCAUAGAGAAUGUCACAAAGACAUGUUUUCAAUAGUAGUGCUAUCCCGAGGGCAGAGAAGACCCAGAGAAAGCCCAAGUGGCUGCUGGAACAAAAUCAGACACCGUGCCACCUGUCCACACUCCUUGGCUCUGCCAUCAUGCUGAAGAUCGCUUUAAAGGACUGGCUUCCCUCCCCCCAAAAUUAAAAGAGCACAGACUGAGAAACUGAAUGUGGGAGACAGCAGUGGAUUAUGCUGUUCUCAGGGGUCACCUCAGGUUUGGAAGCAUUCUUUCAAAUUAACCCAUCUCAGGCCAUCUGCAGAGAAGAAAGGUGGUACCUAACUUUUUUUCUUGUCGGCAUUUGGUAGGGGUGUUUUAUUGACCAAAUAUGUUCCCACAACCUCGUUUUUUGUGACUAACUAAAUAUAGUAGAGUUUUAAAUUUUAUCAUCAAAAUCUAUAGACAAUUUUUGAUGAAAAUAGACUCCAUCUCUAUGUCCUGCUUUUCUUCUUCUUAUUAAUUACAUUGCUGUAUAAAAGAACAAGACUUCAGCAUCAAGAAUAUCUUGUCUCUUGGCAUUGAAUUUAUACAAGGUGCUCUUUCUUUAAUGCUGUCUCAAAGGACAUAUUUUUACUCAUUAAAAAGGAAGAUCGGAAUCUAGUUGUAUGCACUGCUCCAACAUAUUAAUAAUUAAAAUUAGGAGGUAAAUGUGGUCAAAGCUAUAGAAAGACGGAGAUGUCAUUUAUAUGGAUUACUCUAUAGCACUCUACAAACAGAAAUUGUUAAAUAAUAGUUUAUAUAAAUAUUUUGUAGCAUUUCAAAUAUUUGAGUGCUUGAAGUUUCUCCUCUUCUAUAGUUCAGAUUAUCAAUUUGAAGACUUACUCCGCUAGUUAAUAUGUUUUUAGUCUCGUUUGAGUAUUAUAUAAAAGCAAUUUUCAGUUAAAUGUGUUCCGCUUACAUAAAACGUUACAAAUUAUUGAGGAUUUAAUUACUUAUUCAUGUUCCUGUAAUGUCUUUAGAAGAUUUUCUUAUUAUUACCUAUCAAUAUAUGUAUGCUUUGUCAAAGAAAAAUCAAACAUAUAUAUCAUUGAAAUUGAAACUUUUUAAAAGUACUUAUUAAUUCUAUUGAAAAACCACAUCCAUAGGAACAAUUACAAUAUAAUAUUGUGAACAUGUAAACAUAUACCCUAUGUCUAUUUUAUGUAUAAGCAUGUAUGAUUAAAAAUAUAGUGAAGAAUUUUUAAACCUAGUAUUAUAAAGUAAAAAUUAGUUAACUUCCGAUGAUUAUUUGUUAAUUAAGAUAAAAUUAUUUUGAUUUGGGUGAUUUUAAAUAAAGAAAAAUAUUAAAUUACAUGACAAAAAUUCUUUAUAAAAUGUUUAUGAUUUUUACAUUGGUUUUAUCACUUUUCCCACUAUUUUAUUUUAAGAUGACCUGCCUUGUUUAAAACACUGUAUUCAUCUUAGUUAAAUUAGAUUCCAUUUGUAAAAUAAUUAACAAAUGAUUUGCUCUAUUGUACAGUGCGGUUAUAAACUGAGUCAGUAUCUCAAGAUUUGAUCCCCAUUAUCAUCAUCUGUGGCCCUAUUUGUUUUA
Molecule: long non-coding RNA, 3637 nt
Filed under: Homo sapiens (human)
Lineage: Eukaryota; Metazoa; Chordata; Mammalia; Primates; Hominidae
Description: HSALNT0295143
Source: RNAcentral